GAGCACCAAAAAGAACAAAACGACAGGGAAGGAACAAAAGAAGACUCAAAACAGCAAAAACAAAGCUUUGGCAACAAUAUGAUAGAUAAUACUCAAAGUCUUGAUCAAGAUACAAUCAUUCACAAACCACUAACUAUGCUCUUGCUCAGAAAAUUAUGCCAUGUUAUUCAUUCAAGUCAAAAUUGUGCAAAUUCAAUCCUGCCUCACCAAGUUCACUCAAUUUCUCUCAAAAGACAAAUAUGGACAGAAUAGAUUCACACAAUUCACAACUUCAUGCCUUCAAACACAGCUUGCCGUUAUGUCACUAUCUCCACCAAAAUAUGGAACCAAUGCACAAAUCAAAAGGUCUUGCACUUUGGUUGUAAUGGGGCUAGGGUACGUACAGGUGGGAUAAACAAGGAAAAGGGAUCAAAAAGGCUCAAUAUAUGACUGAAAACAUGCAACACACCAGACCUUCCAUCAAUAAAACUCUAGAGUAGCUCCUCAACAUAUCCACAAUCCUCAAAAAGUAUGCAUCAACUCUAACAUAUACAUAUAGGACAUAAACAUGAAUGAAUGUAUACACAAUAAACCCUUUCUUUUCUUUGAACUUUUUUUUUUCUAUUAUUAUUAUUAUUUUUUUUUCAACAACAUAUAUUCUCAAUAAAUCAAUGAAUCAUGAACAACACAUUAACAUGAUAGGAGUAUUCAUCUCGUCAUAACCUAGUGCAUUUACAUGUUUUCAAAGGACAAAAGCAGGUUGAAAUAGGCUUAGGCUCAAUAUAUGUGGCUUUUAAUCAAACAAAACAGGAGCAAAUUAGGAACAAACGGCUCACUAAGGGAAUAGUGAAGGUUCGGAUAAUAUGUUCAGGCCAAAAUAAUGGUUAUUCCUAAAUGCCUUAAUCAUUUUCAUGCAUUAAGUUCUCAAACUCAGUCUUGACUAUGGCAACAGGGCAAAC
Molecule: long non-coding RNA, 938 nt
Filed under: Salvia miltiorrhiza (redroot sage)
Lineage: Eukaryota; Viridiplantae; Streptophyta; Magnoliopsida; Lamiales; Lamiaceae
Description: long non-coding RNA (SMIL_LNC008836)
Source: RNAcentral